RNAcentral lists this long non-coding RNA (846 nucleotides) under Mytilus galloprovincialis (Mediterranean mussel). The record is from RNAcentral. Lineage: Eukaryota; Metazoa; Mollusca; Bivalvia; Mytilida; Mytilidae.
ACAGUAUAGCUGACCUUUAUUAAGCCUGAAACCCAAUUUCAGAAAUCCUUGAAUUGAAGUUCCUGAGAAAAAGGUGACAAAAAUUUCCACCUUAGCUAUCAUGUGUAAAUGAUACAAGUGUUUGGUAAACAGGAAGUCGUUGAGUAAUGAAUCUGAAAAUGCAUCACACAGUAAAGCCGACUUCUAUCAACCCUGAAACCAAAUUUCAGAAAUCCUUGUAUUGAAGUUCCUCAUGAAAAAGGUGACGAAAAUUUUCAACUUAGCUAUCAUGUGUAAAUGAUACAAGUGUUCGGUAAACAGAAAGUUGUUGAGUGAUGAAUCUAAAAACGCAUGACACAGUAUAGCUGCAUUAUAUCAACACUGAACCAAAUUUCAGAAAUCCUUGUAUUGACUCUCCGGAGAAUAAGGUGACGAAAAUUUUCGACUUAGCUAUCAUUUGUAAAUGAUACAAGUGUUAGGUAUACAGGAAGUUGAUGAGUGAUGAAUCUGAAAACGCAUGGCACGUGGUAAUUAGCUGCAUUUUAUCAACACUGAACCAAAUUUCAGAAAUCCUUGUAUUGAAGUUCCUAAAAAAGGUGACGAAAAUUUUCAACUUAGCUAUCAUGUGUAAAUGAUACAAGUGUUUGGUAAACAGGAAAUUGUUGAGUGAUGAAUCUGAAAAUGCAUGGCACGUGGUAAUUAGCUGCAUUUUAUCAACACUGAACCAAAUUUCAGAAAUCCUUGUAUUGAAGUUCCAGAGAACUGUGAGGUGACGAAAAUUUUCAAUUGAGCUAACAUGUGUAAAUGAUACGAGUGUUCAGUAAACAGGAAGUUGUUGAGUGAUGAAUCUAGAAACGCUUGACACAG